GGGGUCCUAGCUCAGUGGUGGAGCAGCUGCUUUGGAUGCAGAAGGCCUCCGGUUCAGUUCCCAGCGUCUCCA
Podarcis lilfordi (Lilford's wall lizard) is the source of this 72-nucleotide non-coding RNA. The record is from the annotation of a GenBank genome assembly. NCBI's taxonomy places the organism in Eukaryota, Metazoa, Chordata, Lepidosauria, Squamata, Lacertidae.